This 563-nucleotide ribosomal RNA is filed under the name uncultured Fusarium. Its description in RNAcentral is "LSU rRNA". It matches the Rfam family "Eukaryotic large subunit ribosomal RNA", at positions 62 to 648 of the family's 3401-position model. Lineage: Eukaryota; Fungi; Ascomycota; Sordariomycetes; Hypocreales; Nectriaceae. The record is from RNAcentral.
AAACCAACAGGGAUUGCCCUAGUAACGGCGAGUGAAUCGGCAACAGCUCAAAUUUGAAAUCUGGCUUUCGGGCCCGAGUUGUAAUUUGUAGAGGAUGCUUUUGAUGCGGUGCCUUCCGAGUUCCCUGGAACGGGACGCCAUAGAGGGUGAGAGCCCCGUCUGGUUGGAUGCCAAAUCUCUGUAAAGUUCCUUCGACGAGUCGAGUAGUUUGGGAAUGCUGCUCUAAAUGGGAGGUAUAUGUCUUCUAAAGCUAAAUAUUGGCCAGAGACCGAUAGCGCACAAGUAGAGUGAUCGAAAGAUGAAAAGCACUUUGAAAAGAGAGUUAAAAAGUACGUGAAAUUGUUGAAAGGGAAGCGUUUAUGACCAGACUUGGACUUGGUUAAUCAUCUGGGGUUCUCCCCAGUGCACUUUUCCAGUUCAGGCCAGCAUCAGUUUUCGCCGGGGGAUAAAGGCUUCGGGAAUGUAGCUCUCUUCGGGGAGUGUUAUAGCCCGUUGUGUAAUACCCUGGCGGAGACUGAGGUUCGCGCUUCUGCAAGGAUGCUGGCGUAAUGGUCAUCAACGAC